GAAAAGGAGCAAUCCGCUUUGAGAUGGCCUCGCGUCCGAUUAGCUAGUUGGUGAGGUAACGGCCCACCAAGGCAACGAUCGGUAGCCGGACUGAGAGGUUGAACGGCCACAUUGGGACUGAGACACGGCCCAGACUCCUACGGGAGGCAGCAGUGGGGAAUAUUGCACAAUGGGGGAAACCCUGAUGCAGCGACGCCGCGUGGAGGAAGAAGGUCUUCGGAUUGUAAACUCCUGUUGUUGAGGAAGAUAAUGACGGUACUCAACAAGGAAGUGACGGCUAACUACGUGCCAGCAGCCGCGGUAAAACGUAGGUCACAAGCGUUGUCCGGAAUUACUGGGUGUAAAGGGAGCGCAGGCGGGAAGACAAGUUGGAAGUGAAAUCCAUGGGCUCAACCCAUGAACUGCUUUCAAAACUGUUUUUCUUGAGUAGUGCAGAGGUAGGCGGAAUUCCCGGUGUAGCGGUGGAAUGCGUAGAUAUCGGGAGGAACACCAGUGGCGAAGGCGGCCUACUGGGCACCAACUGACGCUGAGGCUCGAAAGUGUGGGUAGCAAACAGGAUUAGAUACCCUGGUAGUCCACACUGUAAACGAUGAUUACUAGGUGUUGGAGGAUUGACCCCUUCAGUGCC
This 628-nucleotide ribosomal RNA is filed under the name uncultured bacterium. Its description in RNAcentral is "bacterial SSU rRNA". It matches the Rfam family "Bacterial small subunit ribosomal RNA", at positions 201 to 847 of the family's 1533-position model. The record is from RNAcentral.